Molecule: non-coding RNA, 54 nt
Organism: Salmo salar (Atlantic salmon)
Lineage: Eukaryota; Metazoa; Chordata; Actinopteri; Salmoniformes; Salmonidae
Source: Rfam
AAUAGUCAUGACUGUAAGUCAUUUUGGAUAAAAGUGUCUGCUAAAUGGCAUAUU